RNAcentral lists this transfer RNA (84 nucleotides) under Planctomycetaceae bacterium. RNAcentral describes it as "tRNA-Leu". It matches the Rfam family "tRNA". From Rfam's summary of the family: Transfer RNA (tRNA) molecules are approximately 80 nucleotides in length. Their secondary structure includes four short double-helical elements and three loops (D, anti-codon, and T loops). Further hydrogen bonds mediate the characteristic L-shaped molecular structure. tRNAs have two regions of fundamental functional importance: the anti-codon, which is responsible for specific mRNA codon recognition, and the 3' end, to which the tRNAs corresponding amino acid is attached (by aminoacyl-tRNA synthetases). tRNAs cope with the degeneracy of the genetic code in two manners: having more than one tRNA (with a specific anti-codon) for a particular amino acid; and 'wobble' base-pairing, i.e. permitting non-standard base-pairing at the 3rd anti-codon position. Lineage: Bacteria; Pseudomonadati; Planctomycetota; Planctomycetia; Planctomycetales; Planctomycetaceae. The record is from RNAcentral.
GGCCAAGUGGUGGAACUGGCAGACACGCGGUGCUCAGAACGCCGUGCCGAACAAGGCGUGGGAGUUCAAAUCUCCCCUUGGCCA